UUGGCAUGUGGAAAAGGGUGGUGCCCCACUUCUAACCCCAAUACCCCUUACCCCCUAUAAAAAGGCUCCAAUACUUAGAUGCCUUUGUGAUGAGAAAUAGAGAAAAAAUUUGAGAGAAAAGUUCUGCUUAAAAUUUGAGCCACCUUCUUUUCUUCCUCCCCAUUUUUCUUAGUUUUCAAGAGAAUCUAUGAGACCUGAGAGUUAACCAAAUCAGCCAUCAAAGAGGAGAUAUUUGCAAAGAAGCUAGCACCCUGGGAAG
This 259-nucleotide long non-coding RNA is filed under the name Elaeis guineensis (African oil palm). RNAcentral describes it as "long non-coding RNA (EGUI_LNC068367)". The record is from RNAcentral. Lineage: Eukaryota; Viridiplantae; Streptophyta; Magnoliopsida; Arecales; Arecaceae.